CUCAGAUUUCAGUGCGUUCACGACACUUGGCACUUCAGGGCAAAAAACGCGCUCCGACUGAUAAAAAAAAUCGUUUUGAACGGUCAUCCAACUCGGCAUUUCAAAAUGGAUACUCUUAUAUAUUUCUAGAGCGACCGACUUUUCCGACCUGAAGAUCACUGACGUCAUGAUUCGACCUCGUCCCCCCCCACGAGUUUCCAGUUGUCUUUAAAGUACCAUGAGACAGCAAACCCCUCGGUGACCGCCAGAAUGAGUGAUCACCCAUCAUCAAGUGUAAAUCCGUAGACAACUGAUUCGGGAUUUCUAUUACCGCAUAUACAGUAAUAUGAGUUCAUAAAUAAAUAUAUAUAUUUGAGAUGUUUUCACUAUUUUGUAGCUAGAGGUCGCUGAACGGUUGCAUCAUCUUUGUUCCGUGAAUGAGGCGCUGUCUGAUCUGGAGCCGCAAAAACAGGAUGACAAUUCAGGUUACCUUGGUGACAGCCAGUAGUAACUGACUGAUUAUGGUACAAGAAGUUUUGGCCCAACAUCACAGGGCUGGAUGGAUGGAUAGCUCAGACCUGGCUAGACAUAGUGACAGACAACCUUGGGGAGAAGAAUGGUGUGGAGUCAGCUGUAUGAGGUGGCAACAUGCAUCUCUGUGUGCCUGACAGACAUAUCAGCUUGGAUGUCAUCCCACCACCUCAAGCUCAACAAGACAGAGCUGCUCUUCCUCCCAGUCAAAGCCCGCCCCAAGACCUCUCCAUCCCAGUUGACAACUCCAUGGUGUCCCUCUCCCAGAGUUCAAAAAGCCUUGAUAUGGUGCGUUUGGGCUCACAUUAAAUACCUUACCAAAGAUGAGGCGGAGGAACAGAGGGAGUGAAAACGACAGAACACUGAUAUGGCGUCAGGAACUCCUACUUCGCUGUACACCCGAAAAACAACCACAUUCAAAUUAAAACCCAAGGUUUGAUUUUAAACGAGCCCUAAAAGACAGUGAAUAACUUCUGAAUUGAAGUACACAUCCUCUGUGAUUUCACUCUUUCUGUGCACUUAGCAAAAUAAAUAAUAUGUGGUUGCACCACUUGAAUAUUCACGUUAACUUGAGACUUUUAAAGGACUGUAUUUAUACCAAAUUUAUUGAAAGUCGUGUUUAUUAUUUUUUUAAUAAACUGGUUUCAAAGUAUUUGUACCUGGUUCUAACUUGCGUUCUUUGUUCUGAUCUUGUCCACAUUCUGAUUGUGAUCAGAUCCUCCUGACAUGUUUGUUGACCGGUAUGGACAAUUAAAAGACACUGAAUGUUAUCUGAUCUUCCUGACCACCUUCGGAGGUAGUCACACGCAUUGUGAUCUGGACAGAGAAACCAUUUUUACUGAACAAAAAAAAAUUAUAUUUACUCAGUUACAGUUCAUAUAAAAGGAAAAAAUCAGUCAACUGAAAUAAAUUCAUUAAAAAUAAAUCUAUGGAUUUCACAUGACUGGGCAGGGGCGCAGUCAUGGGUGGGCUUAGAAGGUCAGAGGCCCACCCACUAGAAUACAUGUUUGUUUUUUUCCCCCACAAAAAAGGGCUUUACGACAGACAGAAAUGCUCUUCAGUUUCAUCAUCUGUCCGGGUGGCUCUCAGAUAAUGAAGCCGGGGAAAAAAAUAAUAAUGUCUUGGCUAUUUUAUUUCAGCUUAUGAAACCAACACUUUACAUGUUUAAUAGAUUGUUGAUUCAGUAUAAAAAUCAUAAUUAUUCCACCCACUAAAUUCACUGACAAGUGGCACCAUUGACAAUAAAUACAAAAUUAUUUUGGAAAGGUUGGCUGUGAAAUUAUUUGCAUAAAAGGGGAAGGGACAAGGAAAUCUGUUCACAACAUUUCACCAAAUCACAUGACAAGUAUGACUGGAGGCACAACCUGUUUGAUAAAGCAUGACUGGAGGCACAACCUGUUUGAUAAAGCAUGACUGGAGGCACAACCUGUUUGAUAAAGCAUGACUGGAGGCACAACCUGUUUGAUAAAGCAUGACUGGAGGCACAACCUGUUUGAGAAAGCAUGACUGGAGGCACAACCUGUUUGAGAAAGCAUGACUGGAGGCACAACCUGUUUGAUAAAGCAUACAGAGCUGUAUUUUUGAUAUUGUAACGUAACGAGUAAAUAAAGAGUUGUGGACUGGA
Molecule: long non-coding RNA, 2134 nt
Organism: Oncorhynchus masou masou (cherry salmon)
Lineage: Eukaryota; Metazoa; Chordata; Actinopteri; Salmoniformes; Salmonidae
Exons: 4
Source: RefSeq, a predicted model, not a curated record